Molecule: long non-coding RNA, 773 nt
Filed under: Octopus vulgaris (common octopus)
Lineage: Eukaryota; Metazoa; Mollusca; Cephalopoda; Octopoda; Octopodidae
Source: RNAcentral
GUUUAUUUGUCAUUGAUGAAUAAGCAAAAAAAGAAGCAUUAUUUCAUGCCUUUCUAAGGUAUCUGGAUGUGGCUUGAAAUGGAUCUCCCCUAUUUAUAUGUAAUUUUAAUUACUCAUAUAAUGAAUCAUGUGGUUAACGAAUAGGGCUCCAGAAGGCAUUAUGUUUGUAUAUAAAGAUCUGACUUUAUAUGAAAGGAAAGAACAUAUCAUUUCUCACAUAAAGCAAAUUUGUUCAUCCUGUUUGUAUAACUGGUACUUAUUUUAACGACUGACAAUGGAUCCAAUAUAUAUUCAAUUCUUUUUUAUGAAGAAUAAUUCUAAUUUGAAGUUUAAAAAAUUUCUUUAUUAUACUAUUAUUCUUUUAUGGUAAAAGAAAGAUACAGUUGCUGUUAUUACUACUACUACUUAAUAGAAAUCACACUUUUUUCCUUUUUUUUUAUCUUAUAAAAUGUUAUUCGUUUUAUACACGUUCCCGAAAAUGAAGAAACUGGUUACAUUAAAGUGAAAUGUUUAAAUGUUCUUUGUUCGAUUUUUGUUUCCAAAUAUAUUAGUUUAUGUUCUGGUACCAGUUCUGUAUCUUCAGUGUCCAUUCUGCAGAUGACAACCCACUAGUAAGGAAAUUCUUGUGAGUCUGUUUUAUGGUUGAUACUGUGCCUAAUGGGUGAUGUGUUCUAAGAAAAAGGUGGACCGUAAUUUGCUUAUUGUUGCCCAACAAUCCAAACAUGAGGCAGUUGUAUAAUAAAUUUAAUAAACCCAAAAUACAAAUUUUCAAA